GGAGGGGUAACCCUAAUUGGUAAGGGCCCUGUCUUGAAAACAGGCGGGCGAAAGCCCUUGUGAGUUCGAGUCUCUCCCCCUCCG
RNAcentral lists this transfer RNA (84 nucleotides) under Candidatus Nealsoniibacteriota bacterium. Its description in RNAcentral is "Candidatus Nealsonbacteria bacterium tRNA-Ser". It matches the Rfam family "tRNA". From Rfam's summary of the family: Transfer RNA (tRNA) molecules are approximately 80 nucleotides in length. The record is from RNAcentral. Lineage: Bacteria; Candidatus Nealsoniibacteriota.